Molecule: long non-coding RNA, 435 nt
Filed under: Durio zibethinus
Lineage: Eukaryota; Viridiplantae; Streptophyta; Magnoliopsida; Malvales; Malvaceae
Description: long non-coding RNA (DZIB_LNC002221)
Source: RNAcentral
UAUUAUUUUUUUUAAUUUCAUCAAAAAUAAUUUUAUUGCUGCUUUCAAAUAGAUCCUUAUUUAGUGAAACAUUGCGGUUUACCUCAUUAUUUUUUUUUUCAUUCCUAUUAUAUCCUUAAAUGUGUUUUUAUUUUAAAAAAAACUUAAAAAUUUGUUAUUUUUUCUUUCUUCUUGUUCUUUAUCACCAUCCCAAAUUUCUAGCCCUAAACUGCGUCUUCCUUCAUAUUGCCGCGCCUUCUUCUUGUCGCCUCCUCCAUUUUGAUGUCUCCUCUUUCAACUUUCGUCGAAGCUGUGUCAUAGAUUGAGUGUGACCGUAUUAACCAGAGAGAAGAAGAAAAAGAAAAUAGAAGAUUAGACCAGGGGAAUAAAAAGGAAAGAAAAUAGAAGAGGAACAUAGACUAUUUCCAUUCAUAAUCCGUUUGGUUACAAUAUUGC